RNAcentral lists this ribosomal RNA (603 nucleotides) under Rhodotorula paludigena. Its description in RNAcentral is "partial large subunit ribosomal RNA". It matches the Rfam family "Eukaryotic large subunit ribosomal RNA", at positions 46 to 661 of the family's 3401-position model. Lineage: Eukaryota; Fungi; Basidiomycota; Microbotryomycetes; Sporidiobolales; Sporidiobolaceae. The record is from RNAcentral.
AUAAGCGGAGGAAAAGAAACUAACAAGGAUUCCCCUAGUAGCGGCGAGCGAAGCGGGAAGAGCUCAAAUUUAUAAUCUGGCACUUUCAGUGUCCGAGUUGUAAUCUCUAGAAGUGUUUUCCGCGUUGGACCGCACACAAGUCUGUUGGAAUACAGCGGCACAGUGGUGACACCCCCGUACACGGUGCGGACGCCCAGCGCUUUGUGAUACACUUUCGAAGAGUCGAGUUGUUUGGGAAUGCAGCUCAAAUUGGGUGGUAAAUUCCAUCUAAAGCUAAAUAUUGGCGAGAGACCGAUAGCGAACAAGUACCGUGAGGGAAAGAUGAAAAGCACUUUGGAAAGAGAGUUAACAGUACGUGAAAUUGUUGGAAGGGAAACGCUUGAAGUCAGACUUGCUUGCCGGAGCUUGCUUCGGUUUGCAGGCCAGCAUCAGUUUUCCGGGGUGGAUAAUGGCGGUUAGAAGGUAGCAGCUUCAGCUGUGUUAUAGCUUUCCGCUGGAUACAUCCUGGGGGACUGAGGAACGCAGCGUGCUUUUAGCGGGGGUUUCGACCUCUUCACGCUUAGGAUGCUGGUGUAAUGGCUUUAAACGACCCGUCUUGAAACA